This 169-nucleotide ribosomal RNA is filed under the name uncultured beta proteobacterium. RNAcentral's name for it is "partial 16S ribosomal RNA". It matches the Rfam family "Bacterial small subunit ribosomal RNA", at positions 366 to 531 of the family's 1533-position model. The record is from RNAcentral. Lineage: Bacteria; Pseudomonadati; Pseudomonadota; Betaproteobacteria.
GGACAAUGGGCGCAAGCCUGAUCCAGCCAUGCCGCGUGCGUGAAGAAGGCCUUCGGGUUGGAAAACUCUUUUUGUCGGGAAGAAAACGCCGGGACGUGUACCGGGUUGACGGGACCGUACCAAUAAAGAACGCCCCGCUCCACGCCAGGCGCCGCGGCAAUACAAUACA